AUGCAGUCGAGCGAACAGACGAGGAGCUUGCUCCUCUGACGUUAGCGGCGGACGGGUGAGUAACACGUGGAUAACCUACCUAUAAGACUGGGAUAACUUCGGGAAACCGGAGCUAAUACCGGAUAAUAUAUUGAACCGCAUGGUUCAAUAGUGAAAGACGGUUUUGCUGUCACUUAUAGAUGGAUCCGCGCCGCAUUAGCUAGUUGGUAAGGUAACGGCUUACCAAGGCAACGAUGCGUAGCCGACCUGAGAGGGUGAUCGGCCACACUGGAACUGAGACACGGUCCAGACUCCUACGGGAGGCAGCAGUAGGGAAUCUUCCGCAAUGGGCGAAAGCCUGACGGAGCAACGCCGCGUGAGUGAUGAAGGUCUUCGGAUCGUAAAACUCUGUUAUUAGGGAAGAACAAAUGUGUAAGUAACUAUGCACGUCUUGACGGUACCUAAUCAGAAAGCCACGGCUAACUACGUGCCAGCAGCCGCGGUAAUACGUAGGUGGCAAGCGUUAUCCGGAAUUAUUGGGCGUAAAGCGCGCGUAGGUGGUUUUUUAAGUCUGAUGUGAAAGCCCACGGCUCAACCGUGGAGGGUCAUUGGAAACUGGAAAACUUGAGUGCAGAAGAGGAAAGUGGAAUUCCAUGUGUAGCGGUGAAAUGCGCAGAGAUAUGGAGGAACACCAGUGGCGAAGGCGACUUUCUGGUCUGUAACUGACGCUGAUGUGCGAAAGCGUGGGGAUCAAACAGGAUUAGAUACCCUGGUAGUCCACGCCGUAAACGAUGAGUGCUAAGUGUUAGGGGGUUUCCGCCCCUUAGUGCUGCAGCUAACGCAUUAAGCACUCCGCCUGGGGAGUACGACCGCAAGGUUGAAACUCAAAGGAAUUGACGGGGACCCGCACAAGCGG
This 895-nucleotide ribosomal RNA is filed under the name Staphylococcus epidermidis. Its description in RNAcentral is "bacterial SSU rRNA". It matches the Rfam family "Bacterial small subunit ribosomal RNA", at positions 55 to 932 of the family's 1533-position model. Lineage: Bacteria; Bacillati; Bacillota; Bacilli; Caryophanales; Staphylococcaceae. The record is from RNAcentral.